This 214-nucleotide long non-coding RNA is filed under the name Elaeis guineensis (African oil palm). RNAcentral's name for it is "long non-coding RNA (EGUI_LNC076963)". Lineage: Eukaryota; Viridiplantae; Streptophyta; Magnoliopsida; Arecales; Arecaceae. The record is from RNAcentral.
GCCAGAGAGUGGAGGAGCCGCGCGAUAUCCAUCAUAGGAAGUGGAGCAGAGUCGUGGCCAUUAUUGUGGUCUGCCAGGGAGUGAUGGAGCCGCACGGAAUCCAUCACAGGAAGUGGAGCAGAGUCGUGGCCAUUAUUGUGGUCUGCCAGGGGGUCCAGACCUAUCGGCCAAAGUUCAGUUGGAGUCCGAUCUCCGUAGAAGCCCGGAUGGGGAU